Molecule: ribosomal RNA, 497 nt
Filed under: uncultured bacterium
Lineage: Bacteria
Description: partial 16S ribosomal RNA
Rfam family: Bacterial small subunit ribosomal RNA
Source: RNAcentral
GAUGAACGCUGGCGGCGUGCCUAAUACAUGCAAGUCGAGCGAACGGACGAGAAGCUUGCUUCUCUGAUGUUAGCGGCGGACGGGUGAGUAACACGUGGAUAACCUACCUAUAAGACUGGGAUAACUUCGGGAAACCGUAGCUAAUACCGGAUAAUAUUUUGAACCGCAUGGUUCAAUAGUGAAAGACGGUCUUGCUGUCACUUAUAGAUGGAUCCGCGCUGCAUUAGCUAGUUGGUAAGGUAACGGCUUACCAAGGCAACGAUGCAUAGCCGACCUGAGAGGGUGAUCGGCCACCCUGGAACUGAGACACGGUCCAGACUCCUACGGGAGGCAGCAGUAGGGAAUCUUCCGCAAUGGGCGAAAGCCUGACGGAGCAACGCCGCGUGAGUGAUGAAGGUCUUCGGAUCGUAAAACUCUGUUAUUAGGGAAGAACAUAUGUGUAAGUAACUGUGCACAUCUUGACGGUACCUAAUCAGAAAGCCACGGCUAACUACGUG